Small nucleolar RNA from Callithrix jacchus (white-tufted-ear marmoset), 104 nucleotides. Lineage: Eukaryota; Metazoa; Chordata; Mammalia; Primates; Cebidae. The record is from Ensembl.
GUCCUUUCGUAGGUCAUGAGUGAAAUGAUUGGGUUGUUGUGCUCCAGUGUGAGAUGUGCUUCCCUCACACCUUGUUCCAAUGUUGACGCAUUACCCAUCUGACA